GAUGAACGCUGGCGGCGUGCCUAAUACAUGCAAGUCGAGCGAACAGACGAGGAGCUUGCUCCUCUGACGUUAGCGGCGGACGGGUGAGUAACACGUGGAUAACCUACCUAUAAGACUGGGAUAACUUCGGGAAACCGGAGCUAAUACCGGAUAAUAUAUUGAACCGCAUGGUUCAAUAGUGAAAGACGGUUUUGCUGUCACUUAUAGAUGGAUCCGCGCCGCAUUAGCUAGUUGGUAAGGUAACGGCUUACCAAGGCAACGAUGCGUAGCCGACCGUAGAGGGUGAGCGGCCAAACGGGAAGUGAGACACGGUCCAGACGCCUACGGGAGGCAGAAGUAGGGAAUCUUCCGCAAGGGGCGAAAGCCUGACGGAGCAACGCCGCGUGAGUGAUGAAGGUUUUCGGAUCGUAAAACUCUGUUAUUAGGGAAGAAAAAAUGUGUAAGUAACUAUGCACGUCUUGACGGGACCUAAUCAGAAAGACAGGGCUAACGACGUG
Molecule: ribosomal RNA, 497 nt
Filed under: uncultured bacterium
Lineage: Bacteria
Description: partial 16S ribosomal RNA
Rfam family: Bacterial small subunit ribosomal RNA
Source: RNAcentral